Molecule: transfer RNA, 83 nt
Filed under: Roseibacillus sp.
Lineage: Bacteria; Pseudomonadati; Verrucomicrobiota; Verrucomicrobiia; Verrucomicrobiales; Verrucomicrobiaceae
Also listed under: 4 other names
Description: tRNA-Leu
Rfam family: tRNA
About the family: Transfer RNA (tRNA) molecules are approximately 80 nucleotides in length. Their secondary structure includes four short double-helical elements and three loops (D, anti-codon, and T loops).
Source: RNAcentral
GCCGGGAUGGCGGAAUUGGUAGACGCGCCUGAUUUAGGAUCAGGUGUCCCUAGGACGUGCAGGUUCGAGUCCUGUUCCCGGUA